AUGUGAGUUUUGAGUGAGCUCCGGCAGUUGGUGAUGGACAGAGAGGCCCGGUGUGCUGCAAUUCAUGGGGUUGCAAAGAGUAGGACACGAAUGAGCGACUGAACUGAACUGACUGUAUAUGCAGGAACUAUUCAUGUUCUUUACUCUUUUUUUUUUUUUUUUUGCCUAUUUUGAAUGAUUUCUUUCUUUUAAAACACAAUUUAUGUAAACAAACAAACCACUCGAGUGUGUCUCCCAUCUCCUGCCACUUGCCUCUGGUAACCACUGAUCUAUUCUUUCUGUUUCUCCACAUGUAAGAGAGAUUUAUGAUAUUUGUCUUUCUCUGUCUUACUUUUUCACUCAGCACAAUGCUCUUAAAUUCCACCCAUAUUGUUGCGAGUGUCUGAGGAGUAUUCCAUCGCAUACAUAUACUACAGCUUCUUUACCCAUUCAUCUGUUUGCUGAUGGACACUUAGGUUUUUCCAAGUUUAGACUGUUGUAAAUAAAGCAGCAAUGAACACGGGAGUACAGAUACCUUUUCAAGUUAGUGUUUUAAUUUGUUUUUUUUUUCAGAUCAAUACCCACAAGUAGAAUUGCUGGAUCACAUGGUAGUUGCAUUUUCAAUUUUCAAGGACACUUCCUACAAUUUUGACAGUGACUGUGCCAAUAUACAUUUCCACCAAGAGUGCACAAGGGUUCUAUUUUCUCCUUAUUCUCACCCACACUUGUUAGUUCAAGUCUUGUUGAUAACAGCCAUUCUGACAGCGGUGAGAUGACAUCUCAUUAUUUUGAUAUCCAUUUUCCUAAAUUUCAGAUAAACAUCAUGUUUUUUUAGUGUAAGUAUAUCCGAAUGUUACAUAGUUCUAUGUAAGACAUUUUUCUCCACUAAAUCUAGCAACCCUAGGUGAAGGGCUUUUACUUGAUGAUGAAAAAAUUUCUCUUAUUUAAUUGAUUUGUAAGCACACACACAUACACAUUUAACUUUGAAGAGAGUUAAAUGUAGAUCAACACACCUGGUAUCAAUUUCUUGUAAUAAAAGAGGGGUGAAUGCUUAUUGGAUUUGCGGGUGGUUGUCUCAAGUUUACCUACAGAUGUAAACAGAAGGUAGUGCAGGGAAAUGAUAGAAAGGUGGUUCCUUGAGAGAAAGACUAUGGCAGCAUCAUGAACACUGAAAUACUGAGCCGCAGGGAACUUAGCCUGAUUCAAGUCUGCUCACUCCACUAGGCCACAGGCAAGCUUGUCCACGUUUCUCUGCCUGCCCCUCCAUCUGAUCCCUCUGCUUGUAGUUCUGAGCUCUCAGAGCUCAGGCUUCUCUUCUCCUGUGGGGGAGGCGGCUGCUCCCAGCCUGCCCUCCAGAAAGGGGUUGGUGCAAAGAGGCAGGGCUCCUCCCCAGGCCUCACCCAGCACCCACCCCUUCUGGGCUCAGCCUGGUGGGCUUUAAGAGAGAUCCUGGCUGACUCCUCUGCCUGUCACAUCUUCUGGGAAACUCGGUCUAGCUCACUGUCCCAGGCAUGCUGUGGGUCCCAGCACUGCUUCUGGUUUUCCUGGCUCCUGUCACACAGGUAUCUUCCAACAUGGAAGAGGACAAGUUGUCAGUCAUGAGGGCGACUGGGUCAUCUGUUGUAAUCGAUUGUGACCUUACAGGAAGCUAUAUCCACUGGUACAAAUUCCAGGAGGGAGCUGUACCCCAACGCCUUCUCUACUACGAUGUCUCCAACUCAAAGGUUGUGUUGGGCUCAGGAAUCAGUGAAGGGAAAUACCAUGUUUACAAAGGCACAGGGAAGAGCUACACGUUUGUAAUCUCCAACUUGCAAGAAAGUGAUUCUGGCACCUACUACUGUGCUGUCUGGGAGAAGCACAUUGGUUUAGACUUCCUUUACACUGCACUGGAAAUUUUGCUUGUGGCUGUCAAAACAGCCCUGAUACACAGGAUAGACCAGCCCCUGUCUCACUUCCUGCCCCCAGUUCUUUUUACUCUGAAUGAAGAGAAAUCCUGAGCUCAACGCCCAGCCCCAGUCACUGCCACCUCCCACCUCCCCUCAACAGCCAUUGUUUGUUAUGGUCAAAGAUUUUUCCUAAAAGCAGGUCUCCAUCUU
Non-coding RNA from Bubalus bubalis (water buffalo), 2075 nucleotides. Lineage: Eukaryota; Metazoa; Chordata; Mammalia; Artiodactyla; Bovidae. The record is from the annotation of a RefSeq genome assembly.